This is a non-coding RNA of Schistosoma mansoni, 46 nucleotides long. The record is from Rfam. NCBI's taxonomy places the organism in Eukaryota, Metazoa, Platyhelminthes, Trematoda, Strigeidida, Schistosomatidae.
GCACUACUGAGGGGUCCUACAAUAGAACGAAACGGUCGUCUAGUGC